RNAcentral lists this ribosomal RNA (253 nucleotides) under uncultured bacterium. RNAcentral's name for it is "partial 16S ribosomal RNA". It matches the Rfam family "Bacterial small subunit ribosomal RNA", at positions 524 to 776 of the family's 1533-position model. The record is from RNAcentral.
UACGGGGGGGGUAAGCGUUGUUCGGAAUUACUGGGCGUAAAGGGCUCGUAGGCGGCCAACUAAGUCAGACGUGAAAUCCCUCAGCUUAACUGGGGAACUGCGUCUGAUACUGGAUGGCUUGGAUUCGGGAGAGGAAUGCGGAAUUCCAGGUGUAGCGGUGAAAUGCGUAGAUAUCGAGAGGAACACCAGUGGCGAAGGCGAGUCUCUGGACGACUCCUGACACUGAGGCACGAAAGCUGGGGGAGCAAACAGG